AUAGUGUGUUCUGUUCGACCAGAAGGUGCUCCAAGGAGCAAAACCCUAGUUCAUACAAAAAUGAUCAAAUUGAAGGUCUAUUUGAAGCUUAAAUUCACAAUUGAACAUGAAUUAAUAAUCAUCCAAGCUAGGGGAUCAUAAGGUAUGUAAAAUUUUGAUGAUUCUUGAAGUGUUUGACGCUUAACAAACUAGGUGGAAGCUUGGGAAGGAAGCAGGUCAAAGGAAUCAUGUAUGAAAGAAAAACAUAAUUUAGAUGCAAGGUAAGUAAAGCUUACACUCUUAAUAAUUUAUAGAAUAUUUCUUAUCGUAUUGAUUACGAAUAAGAAGAAUAAAUAAUUGAAUAUGAUGUUUCGACGUGUAGUCGUACGAAAUGAAAUAAAUGAAAAUAAUUAGAAACCAUGUUUAAUGGUUAAAAAAUGAAUAAUAUGAUGAUUCAGUCAUACAAUUACGAAUAGAUAUUGUGUUUGAUGUAACACUCCGAAAACGGGUUUGAUAAUCAAACCACGUUAAUACUAAAAGACGGGUAAAGUACCUUUAGUGGUAAAAUUAACCUGGUGAAUAUUAGGAUUUAAAUAAAUAAACCUAAUAUUAAAUAAAAGUUGAACGAAGGUUUUUGAGGAAAUAAAGUUUAUAAAAGGCCCAAGUUAACGAGACUUAAAAUAAACUUAGUAGUAAUUUCCCCGAACCCGCUAAGUUAACUAGGAAUGUUUAACCAAGUUAAUAAGAGGAAAUAUUGUUAGAAAUAAGUAGGUUGUGGUCUACUUAAUAACUAACCAAACAAUAGGGGCCAAAUUUGGAUAACUUGAAAGUUAAGUUAUAAAAAGAAAAGGUAAAACAAAACACACACUUGGUGUGUGUUCCCUGUUCGAUCUCAGGAAGCUCCUCAGGAGCCAAAACCCUAGUUUCAUCAAAACCCAUCAAAUUGAAGGCUUAAACGAAGCUCAAAUUCACAAUUGAACGUGAAUUAAUGAUCACCCAAGCUAGGGGAUCAUAAGGUAUGUAAAAUUUUGAUGAUUUUUGAAGUUGUGAAAUUUGAAGAAACAUUAUAAUCGCGAAUUAUGUAUGAAUUAUGGAAGCUAUGGCUGAAUUAAUGAUGUAUACUUGCUUAGGAACAAAACCCUAAGUGAAAAUCAUACAUAUGAUGUUAUGAAUUGAAUGUUUAGAUGAUUUACCACACUAGGAUAAGUGGGUUUUAAUCAAAUGAUGAAAUUGAUGAUAUAAUUAUGAUUAGAAUCAUCAUACUUGAUAGUAAUAAGAAGAUACUUGAACAAAUUGUGUGUUUGAGUACAUCAUCAUACUUGCUAUGAAAUGAGUUUUGUAUGAUAAAAUGAAAAUGAUGAUAUGUUCAUCCUAAAAUGAUGUUUGAUAUCAUCACGUAUUAGUUGAAUGAAUUACGACUACAAGAACUUGGUUAAUAAGUGGUUAAAACGGUAGCAUAGGAAUGAUGCUUACCGGGUAAUUGACAAAGUACUUAUACGAGUAGUUGAGCUACGUCGUGUAAUUACUUACGUUAAUAGGCAGUUGACUUUAAAAAGUCAAAAUGACCAUUGAUAUGAUCGAAUGAUAAUUUCGACAUAAAAAUCGUAGGAUGAAAUAGUCGUGAAUGAUUAUGACUAAUCUAACCAUCUUACGAAUUACAAUGAUAGUUUGACGCUUAACAAGCUAGGUGGAAGCUUGGGAAGGAAGCGGGUCAAACAAAUCGAGUAUGAAGGAAGAAGCAUAAUUUGGAAGCAAGGUAAGUAAAGCUUACACCUUUUAUUGAAUACUUAUUUGUUUUAUAGGUUAUGAAUAAUAUAAAGUCAUGUUUAAAUUAUGAUGUUCCGACGUGACAGGAUACUGGUCGGAAAAAGAGACAAUAAUAAUAAACCAUGCUUAACGGUUAAGAAGAAAUAAUACGAAUAUUCAGUCAUGUAAUGACUAAUAGACAAUGAGUUUUGAAUGGUUACCUUAUAGGGUAAACCAAAAUGAGUAAAUAAGGGUAAAAUGGUAAUUCGGUCACACGUUGACUAUAAAUGUUAGUUUGAAAGAUACCUUAUGGAUUAAGCCAUGAUAGGUCAAAAGAAUAAAGAAAUGAGUCAUAAGUAAUAUGACCGUAUGGUGUAAACCGGAAUGGGUUACCUAGAUGAGAUGAUAAAUAAUACCAUCUCACAAGGAUGAAAUGGUCAUUUAGACCAAACGGAUCAAAAGGUGAAGAUGUCACCAAUUGACGAUAACGACUAAUCAUUGUUGUCGAGUAUAAUGAUCACAGGAAUAAAUAGCGUGUGGAAAUCCAUUUGAUAAGUAAUGUGGAAAUAUUAUGCUAGCAAUGAAUGAGCGCAAUUUAAGCUUAAAAGUGCUUAAUUACUCUUAACGGGUCAAAAUAAGAUUAUAAGCAAAAACGGGUUAAGGAUAUGUAAAAACCCGUGAAUUGAAUCUUGUAUAAUAGGAAAUAAUUAUAAUAAUAUGUUCAUGAGAAAUUGAAUGCAACAAACAAGUUUGUUUGAUAAAAAUCAUGAACGGGUCAUUAUUUAGUAGAAAAAUAAUAAGCCAAUGGCUUAAAAAUCAAUAAUUUUAUUAAUAUGAAUGUCGGAUUUUAACUCCAUGUAAUGGAGAAUCAAAUUAUGAUCACGUAGGAAGAAACGUGACGUAAAACUGAUAAAAAAUGAGUGAGUUAUGUUCGUUUCCGUAAAGAUUAACUUGGCUGGGAAUGUGUAGGUUUGAAAACAAACCUUUCUGUCGAAAUAGGGCCCUCGCGUCACGCGACGGAGAACCCCAUUUGGCGUCACCAUUUACAUCAAAUCCCGUCACGGCACGCGACGAGUGUUAAACUCAGCAAAGGCUGCUAAAACUUAUAGUUGUUGUUCGUUUCGACUCGCGAACUUGUUUGGACAUGUUUUAACGCCAAAUGACUAUCUUAUUUCAUGUCUUUAUGAAGUGUAGGUAUACGAUACUGUAACAACCCGCGUUUUGAAGUCAAAGUACAAGUCAAAGUCAAAGUCAAAGGAAGAAAAGAUUGCUAAAUGCUAUCUGUCACUCUUUGCUUAAUUAUUGGUUGUACCCUUUGACUUAGUAACCGAUACUUUAAUUUAUGUGACUUUAGUUGUAUUAUGUGGAGUAAAUGAAAUAAUCGCAGUUUA
Molecule: long non-coding RNA, 3116 nt
Filed under: Helianthus annuus (common sunflower)
Lineage: Eukaryota; Viridiplantae; Streptophyta; Magnoliopsida; Asterales; Asteraceae
Description: hypothetical non coding rna
Source: RNAcentral